UACAGAGGUGGCAAGCGUUGUUCGGAAUUACUGGGCGUAAAGCGCGCGUAGGCGGCUUUUUAAGUCAGACGUGAAAUCCCCCGGCUUAACCUGGGAACUGCGUCUGAUACUGGGAAGCUUGAGUUCGGGAGAGGGAUGUAGAAUUCCAGGUGUAGCGGUGAAAUGCGUAGAUAUCUGGAGGAAUACCGGUGGCGAAGGCGGCAUCCUGGACCGAAACUGACGCUGAGGCGCGAAAGCUAGGGGAGCAAACGGG
Molecule: ribosomal RNA, 253 nt
Filed under: uncultured bacterium
Lineage: Bacteria
Description: partial 16S ribosomal RNA
Rfam family: Bacterial small subunit ribosomal RNA
Source: RNAcentral